RNAcentral lists this ribosomal RNA (1632 nucleotides) under Brachyplatys vahlii. Its description in RNAcentral is "partial 16S rRNA". Lineage: Eukaryota; Metazoa; Arthropoda; Insecta; Hemiptera; Plataspidae. The record is from RNAcentral.
UUAUUGUAAAUGUAAAUUUAAGCUUUUAUUAUUAAUAGUUUUGGUCUUUAAAUUAAAAGAAUUUGACGGUAAUUAUAUCUUUUCAGAGGAACCUGUCCUUUAAUUGAUAAUCCACGUUAAAUUUUACCUUAAUUUAUUAGUUUGUAUAUCUCUGUUAUUUUUGAAUGUUUUAUUAGAAUUAUUUUCUUUAAUUUAUUUAUUAUUUAUUUAAAUAUAUAUCAGGUCAAGGUGCAGCUAUAUUAAGGCAAGAGAUGGGUUACAUUAAUUUAUUUAAAUUUUGGAUUUAGUUUAUAAUAUGUAUAUUAUCUGAUAAAAUAGGAUUUGAUUGUAACAUUUAUUAUAUAUUAAUUGUGAUAAUUUGCUCUUUAUUAAGUACACAUCGCCCGUCGCUCUCAUUAGUUUAAGAUGAGAUAAGUCGUAACAAAGUAGGCCUAUCGGAAGAUGGGCCUGGAAUUAUUCAGAUUAUACUUAGGUUAACAUUAUUAUUUACAUUAAUAAUUCAUUUGUGCAAUUCAAAUUAAUCUGAUUAUUUUAAUCUUAAUUGUUAAUUUUAUUUAUGUUUAGUGUUUUUAGAAAAAACUAUAAUUAUUAGUACUGUUUAUUGAAUUUAUAUAUUUUAUAUUUAUAGUUUAUUUUAUCUGUGAGGUGGUGAAUUAUUAUUAAUACUUUAGAAGUAAAUAAUAUUAUUGUACCUUUUGUAUCAGGGUUUAUCAAUUUAAUUUAUUUAUUUAAAUAAUUUUCCCGAAACUGCAAGGGAUAUCAUAAUUUGGUAUUUAUUGUUUUAUAAAUAUUAUGAAAUUUAUGAUAGGUAAUAUAUUUUAUUCAAUUGCUGAUAUCUGGUUUUUUGAUAGAUGAAUUUAAUUCAGGGUUAAUUUAAUUAAUUAUAUAAUUUUAUUUUAUAUUAUUUAUUUAAUCUAAGAUUAAAGGGGAUAAGCUCUUUUUUUAUUUUAUAACUAAUAUUUUAUUAUCUAAAAUUUUGUAGGAUUAACAGUGUCCUUCAUUUGUUUUAAAUAUUUUGUUAUUAUUAUUUUUUUUGUUAAUAUAUUUUAAUUUAUUAUUGGUUUAAUUUUUUAUCAAUUCUUUUUAUUUAACAUUAAAAUAUAAUUUAUAAUGAUAAAAUUAGUAAUUUUGUUUAUUUAUUUAUAGUAACUCGGCAAAUUUGAUUUUCACCUGUUUAUCAAAAACAUGUCCUGUUGUUAUUUAUUUCAGGUCAAACCUGCUCAAUGAUUAAUUUAUAAUUAAUUUAAUAGCCGCAGUAUUUUGACUGUGCAAAGGUAGCAUAAUCAUUUGUCUUUUAAUUGAAGGCUUGUAUGAAUGGUUUCAUGAAAUUUCUGCUUUCUUUAUUUAAACUUUUGAAUUUAACUUUUUAGUUAAAAGGCUAAAAUUUAUUUAUGGGACGAGAAGACCCUAUAGAAAUUUAUAUUUAUAUUUAUAUUUACAUUUUUGUUUAUUAAUUAAUAUUUUUAUUUAUUUAAAUAUUUUGUUGGGGCGACUUAGAGAUUUUAUGAACUCUUUAUUUUUAUCUUUUAUUUAUUUAUAUUUAUUUUUGAUCCUUUAUUAUGGAUAAUAAGAUUAAUUUACCUUAGGGAUAACAGCGUAAUUCUUUCGGAGAGUUCUUAUCGAUGAGAGGGU